This 252-nucleotide ribosomal RNA is filed under the name uncultured bacterium. RNAcentral's name for it is "partial 16S ribosomal RNA". It matches the Rfam family "Bacterial small subunit ribosomal RNA", at positions 524 to 776 of the family's 1533-position model. The record is from RNAcentral.
UACGGAGGGUGCGAGCGUUGUCCGGAAUCAUUGGGCGUAAAGGGCGCGUAGGUGGCCUGCUAAGCGUGCGGUGAAAGUCGGGGCUCAACCCCCGAUCGGCCGUGCGAACUGGGAGGCUUGAGCACUGUAGAGGCAGGCGGAAUUCCGGGUGUAGCGGUGGAAUGCGUAGAGAUCCGGAAGAACACCGGUGGCGAAGGCGGCCUGCUGGGCAGUUUGCUGACACUGAGGCGCGACAGCGUGGGAGCAAACAGG